This 1160-nucleotide long non-coding RNA is filed under the name Gouania willdenowi (blunt-snouted clingfish). RNAcentral's name for it is "lncRNA (ENSGWIG00000015213.1)". The record is from RNAcentral. Lineage: Eukaryota; Metazoa; Chordata; Actinopteri; Blenniiformes; Gobiesocidae.
GGGGGCGGUGCUCGGUUCGUUCCUCCGUCGCAGAAGAAGAAGUGUUUUUUUCCGGCGGUGCUUUCGGAGCGACUCAGUCUAGUUUGAGCAUCAGGAGCUUUAUUUGGUUCAUUUGGUUCAUUUGGUUCGUUUGGUUCGUUUGGUUCGGUUCUGAAGGAUCCAAUGUAUCGUGACCGGCCCCCAACGAGGGGCGGAUACCCACGGCCCUACCCGCCGGCCUUCAGGUCCAAACAUCCGUACGACCCGGCCUACAGCCACCACCGGGACCCGGGCCCGUACCGACCCUACCCGAACCACCACAACCACCCCAGCCCGGGGGAGUACCGGUCCGGAGGGCCGAGCUCUGAGGGGGGCGACUCUGCUGUUUGGUAGACGGCAUGAAGAAAAGGCUGCUAAAUGAUCCUGAAUGCUUCACCUCCUGUAGAACUCAAUGGACUGAAAGGGGCGAUUCACGUCAUCAGUGAUGUCAUUUCAACAUGGCGGCGCACAGACUCUAAAAUGUCCUCACACUUUGAACCAAACCUGCUCAUCACCGUCGGCAACCAGCCCGGCAAAUCUACAGGUCCCGCCCCCUCACGCCACCCUGACAGGGGCUUUCUGCCCCGUCCUGAAUAUGAGCGCGUUCGGGGGCGGAGCAAGAGCCGGGGGCGGAGCAAGAGCCGGGGGCGGAGCAAGAGCCGGGGGCGGAGCAAGAGCCGGGGGAGGAGCAAGAGCCGGGGGCGGAGCAAGAGCCGGGGGCGGAGCAAGAGCCGGCACUUCAGUCCGGACCAUGAACGCGCCAAGAGCCAGGAGCGGAGCAAGAGUCGCCCUCGCAGUUGGUCUCGGUCCAGGUCCCGGUCUAAGUCCAGGUCCAGAGGACGAAGCAGAGGGAGAUCUUAUGGGCAGAGCCAAGUAUCCGGCCACGCUCGCAGCAAGAGCCGCCCUCGGAGCCGCAGCAGCUCCAGCUCCUCCAGCGGCAGCUCCAACAUGUUCCUGGACUCAGCGUUCUCUGAGCUGGGGAGGGCCCGCAGACAGAAGGAGAUGGACGACCUCCUCAACAUUCCCACAAAGUCCAUCCUCAAAAAGUACAGCGACUCUCCCUCAGUCACGGUAAGACAUCCAUCCACUAAUUUUUCCCAAAUACUGUUUUCCACAUUAAUUUUUUAAAAUUCCGUGUUUUA